RNAcentral lists this transfer RNA (77 nucleotides) under Deltaproteobacteria bacterium. RNAcentral describes it as "tRNA-Arg". It matches the Rfam family "tRNA". Rfam says of the family: Transfer RNA (tRNA) molecules are approximately 80 nucleotides in length. Their secondary structure includes four short double-helical elements and three loops (D, anti-codon, and T loops). Further hydrogen bonds mediate the characteristic L-shaped molecular structure. tRNAs have two regions of fundamental functional importance: the anti-codon, which is responsible for specific mRNA codon recognition, and the 3' end, to which the tRNAs corresponding amino acid is attached (by aminoacyl-tRNA synthetases). tRNAs cope with the degeneracy of the genetic code in two manners: having more than one tRNA (with a specific anti-codon) for a particular amino acid; and 'wobble' base-pairing, i.e. permitting non-standard base-pairing at the 3rd anti-codon position. Lineage: Bacteria; Pseudomonadati; Myxococcota; Myxococcia. The record is from RNAcentral.
GGCCCCGUAGCUCAGUUGGAUAGAGCACAGGAUUCCUAAUCCUGGUGUCGAGUGUUCAAAUCACUCCGGGGUCACCA